AUUGAACGCUGGCGGCAUGCUUUACACAUGCAAGUCGAACGGUAACAGGCCGCAAGGUGCUGACGAGUGGCGAACGGGUGAGUAAUGUAUCGGAACGUGCCCAGUCGUGGGGGAUAACUACUCGAAAGAGUAGCUAAUACCGCAUACGAUCUAUGGAUGAAAGCGGGGGACCGUAAGGCCUCGCGCGAUUGGAGCGGCCGAUGUCAGAUUAGGUAGUUGGUGGGGUAAAGGCUCACCAAGCCAACGAUCUGUAGCUGGUCUGAGAGGACAACCAGCCACACUGGGACUGAGACACGGCCCAGACUCCUACGGGAGGCAGCAGUGGGGAAUUUUGGACAAUGGGCGCAAGCCUGAUCCAGCAAUGCCGCGUGCAGGAAGAAGGCCUUCGGGUUGUAAACUGCUUUUGUACGGAACGAAACGGCUCUGGUUAAUACCCGGGGCUAAUGACGGUACCGUAAGAAUAAGCACCGGCUAACUACGUG
This 482-nucleotide ribosomal RNA is filed under the name uncultured bacterium. RNAcentral describes it as "partial 16S ribosomal RNA". It matches the Rfam family "Bacterial small subunit ribosomal RNA", at positions 30 to 507 of the family's 1533-position model. The record is from RNAcentral.